RNAcentral lists this long non-coding RNA (1391 nucleotides) under Homo sapiens (human). RNAcentral describes it as "HSALNT0181184". The record is from RNAcentral. Lineage: Eukaryota; Metazoa; Chordata; Mammalia; Primates; Hominidae.
GUCCAACUGGGUGGGGUUGUCAAGAGGCAGAGUAGCAGGCGAUGAGUUCAGAGAGAGAACAUGGGGUAGGGAGUAAGGUUCUGUGUGCUGCGCUUCUCCAACUGCAAUGUGCACAUGAAUCAUCCGAGUAAUGUAUUAAAAUGCAGGUAUAAGAUUCUCCCUUUAUAACAAGCUCCUAUACUAUGCCACGACUGCUAAUGGCUGUGUCUUGAGCACGAAGGACAAGAAGUCUUCAGCCAGUGAGAGGAGAGCAGUAAAACCUUCCCUAUCACUCUCAGGCCACAGCUGAGGAUUCAUUACAGCUUGGGGAAUGUGUAUGAGUCUGCUGGUGCUGCCAUAACAAAACACCACAGGGUAGGUGGCUUAAACAACAAAAAUGCAUUUUCUCACAGUUUGGGAGGCUUAGAGUCCAAGAGGAAGGAGUCAGGAGAUUUGGUUUCUUCUGAGGCCUCUCUCCUAGGCUUGCAGAUAACCAUCUUCUUGUUGUGUCCUCAUGUGGUCUCUCCUCUUGUGUGAGCUCCCCUUGUGUUUCUUUUUGUGUCCAAAUUUUCUCUUCUUAUAAGGAUACAAGUCAGGUUAGAAUAAGGCCCUCCCUAACAGCCUCAUUUUAACUUAAUUACCUCUUUAAAGGCUCUAUCUCCAAAUAUAGUCACAAUCUGAGGUACUGGGAGUUAGGACUUCAACAUAUGAAGUUAGGGGAGGGAGCACAAUUUAGCCCCCAACAGAAGGGAACUUCCCCCAAAACACUUUUCACCUUGAAAGGUAACCAGGGAAAUGUCCUGGACCCUAAUCAUUAGAGAUUCUCUACCCCUGGGGAAGGGAUAUAAUUACUGAGGAUGUCCUCUCACCAAGAUUUAAUGUUACAACACCUAAGAUUUAGGCUAAACAAGAACAACAAAGAAUGCCCCCUACAUCCCCCAUCAUGAGACUAUCAAGCAAGAAUUAAUGUAAAUCUAGUAUUGGAAGAGGAGCAAGAGCACGGAAACAUACUCUCUAAGAUGUAGGUACAAAUGGAGACCUAACCUCUGGCAAAAUAGUCACCUCAAGAAGCAUGGGGUAACAACCAGAAGAAUUUAAAUGAUAAAGUGCUCCAAGGAUAACCAUAAAAACAACAAAACCCAAGCCCAGCUCCACCCUUAACUAGAUUGACUCAACCCCCAAAACUAACAAUCUAGCAAAGGAAAAGAUCAACUCUUUUCAAGAAUAAAUAUUGUUUAUCUCAGUCACUACUGUUGUUACAGUCUCAACAAUGCACCACAAGCAGUCUCUUGUAAGGUAUCACCCAGAGUUCUUUGUCUCAUGACCAGGAGAAUUAAGGAGUGUGAACACAAAGGGUGGAGUUGGAGCAAAAGUUUAAUAAGCAAAAGAAGAAGCAGCCUGGAAAAGGGUUG